ACUCCUGCGGGAGGCAGCAGUGGGGAAUAUUGGACAAUGGGCGCAAGCCUGAUCCAGCCAUGCCGCGUGAGUGAUGAAGGCCCUAGGGUUGUAAAGCUCUUUCACCGGUGAAGAUAAUGACGGUAACCGGAGAAGAAGCCCCGGCUAACUUCGUGCCAGCAGCCGCGGUAAUACGAAGGGGGCUAGCGUUGUUCGGAUUUACUGGGCGUAAAGCGCACGUAGGCGGACUAUUAAGUCAGGGGUGAAAUCCCGGGGCUCAACCCCGGAACUGCCUUUGAUACUGGUAGUCUUGAGUUCGAGAGAGGUGAGUGGAAUUCCGAGUGUAGAGGUGAAAUUCGUAGAUAUUCGGAGGAACACCAGUGGCGAAGGCGGCUCACUGGCUCGAUACUGACGCUGAGGUGCGAAAGCGUGGGGAGCAAACAGGAUUAGAUACCCCUGUAGUCCCAUG
This 448-nucleotide ribosomal RNA is filed under the name uncultured organism. Its description in RNAcentral is "partial 16S ribosomal RNA". It matches the Rfam family "Bacterial small subunit ribosomal RNA", at positions 335 to 799 of the family's 1533-position model. The record is from RNAcentral.